AAAGAGAAAAAGCAAACCCUCCUUCUUCAAACUCACGUACGGUACAAACACCAAACACUCAUCCUCUCUUCUCGCCGUUUAUCCCUCCCGCCUCCACUUCUGUUGCUGAAGCUUCCCUCGCCGUCGGACCACCGCCAGCCGUCGCCACUGCAGCCCCUUGCUGUAACCACCGUCCGGCAACCGCUCCUCGUGCCGCCGUCCACCUUGCACGUACCUUGGUUGCGCCCAGCCGUCUCCAACCUCCGCAAGCCACCACCUUGCCGCCGUCGUGCCCUGUCCGCCGGCCUGCCCUCUUUUCUCCCCCUUGAAUUGGCGGAGAAUUCUCUUUAGGCGACUUUUGAAAGUGUUAAAGUGGCCUAUCAGUUUGUUUACACAAGUCUCUAAGGAUCAAUAAGCGUUGCCCAUCUACAGGUUUGAAGAUGAUGCAUCAUUGGGGAUCGGGAUUAGAGAGCUUGUAGUUAUAUUUGCUUUAUUAAGUGAUUUGGUUUGUUAACUUAAAUUUGAAAUUUGUCGUACUAUUCGUAUUUCCUUAUUUCAGUUAAUUGGUUUUGGACCUAAUAUGUAAUAAGAUUAAUUAUGAACCUACAAGUUAGUUUUAUGUUUUCCGCUGCAAAAUUCUGAAUAAGCCGUUACGUUUUCACACGGGCGAUA
Spinacia oleracea (spinach) is the source of this 651-nucleotide long non-coding RNA. RefSeq lists it as uncharacterized. NCBI's taxonomy places the organism in Eukaryota, Viridiplantae, Streptophyta, Magnoliopsida, Caryophyllales, Amaranthaceae. The transcript has 5 exons. The record is from RefSeq and is a predicted model, not a curated record.